This 4707-nucleotide long non-coding RNA is filed under the name Sus scrofa (pig). RNAcentral's name for it is "lncRNA (ENSSSCG00025071319.1)". The record is from RNAcentral. Lineage: Eukaryota; Metazoa; Chordata; Mammalia; Artiodactyla; Suidae.
AGUACCCAGUGAGGUUUAUUACAAGAAUACAAGAUUAAUGUACCCUCCAAGAGCCAAUCAACGCAAUUUAGCCCAUUAACAGAUAAAGGGGAAAAUGAUCCAUCUUAACAGGUGCAAACAACAUUUGACGACACUCACUAUCACGCGUGAUAAAAAUGCUCACAAACGAGCCGUGGGAGGAAGCGUCUUCAGUCUGAUAAAGGGCAUCGGUGGAAACUUACAACGUUACCACAAACUCUCAUUCUCUUAACAGUUUUUUCUUUUUUGGCUGCACGUGCAGCAUGCGAAAGUUCCUGGGCCAGGAAUCAAAGCCGAGCUGCAGCUGUGACCUACGUCACAGGUGUGGUGACACUGGAUCCUUGACCCACUGUGCCACAGUGGGAAUUCCCUCUUAAUAGUUUUAUACUAACACUGAAACAUUGAGUGGCUUACCCCUCAUACCAGGAAUAAUGCAAGGAUGCGUGGCCACCUCGCCACCUCUAAAAACAGUGUACCGUAGCUCUCAGCCAGUGUCCUGGGGCUGUCAGGGACAUAAAGUUCACAAAUAUCGGAGAGAAUAACGUGAGACUGUCUUAACGCACACACCUCAUGAUUGUUUACGUAAGAAACCUUAAAGCCACAAAAAUCCUACUCUAGAUAUCAAUCAAUUUAGCUCAGUAUACAACUACAGGUGUGAUAUAUUCACUGACUCAUAAAAAAUGACAAAAAUAAAUUUAGGAAAUUCACAGGAUUCAUAAUCAACGUAAAUAUUCCAUUGUAUUUUCAUAUAUUAGCAAUGAAAACUUGGAAAAAUAAAAUUUAAACUCAUUCCAAUACUGUCAAAAAUUAAAUACACAGGAAUCAAUUUAGGUACAUUAAAACCUGUCUGCUAAAAACUAUAAAACGUUGCUGAGAGAAAUUGAAGAUGUAAGCUGAGAAAUAGACUCUGUUCAUAGAUUGUAAGACUCAUGAUUAUUACAAUAUUAAUUCUCUUCACAUUUAUCCGUUCUGAAUCAAAACCCUGAGUCCUUUUAUAGAAACUGACUCAAUUCUGAAAGGCACCUGAAAAUGCAGAGUCCUCUGCAGCCAAGUCGUCUCGAAGAAUAACAAAGCUGGAGGGUUCCUACUACAAAAUUUUAGACCAUGUACCCCUACAGCAAUUGGGAAAGCAGGCAUUUGGUAUAAGGAUGGGCAUUGAGAUAACUGGAACAGAACAGAACACCCAAAUAUGAAGCUACAUAGAUAUGUGGUUGUUUUUCAAUCGAGAUGAAACCGGUGUAACAUAAAAUCAACCAUUUCUGAGGGCACAAUUAAGUGACAUUUAGCGCAUUACAGCCCUGGGAAGCCACCAUGGCUAACUGAUGCGCUAGGAGGGUGCUGGGGGAGUUCAACCAGGAAAGGAGAAUCUUCUCGACCGAUGACAGAGCGAGUGGAUAAACAGAGGGAGGGGAAAAUGAAGGUCAGCCCUUACCUCGCCCUGCACAAAAGGCUUCGAGCUGGAUCAAUGGAUCAGUGACCCGUGCUCUACACAAAAAUCUUAAAACCGUAAAACUUAUAAUAGAAAACAGAGGAGAUGGAUGUUGUAGGACACAAAAGGCAACACAAACUAAAGGACGAACCAAUCGGUUAGUCUUCAUUUAAAUCCUCACCAUCAGCUCAUGCGCAGACACUCUUAAAACCAACCCACAGACUGUGGGAAAAGAGUCCCAGUGCAUAUGCCUAACACGAGACGUCUAUCACAUAUAUAAAGAGCCCCACCUCUCAAUAACAAAGACCAAUGUCGUUAGAAGUUGGAGCUCCCCUUGCAGCUCAAUGGUAAUAAGCCUGACUAGUAUCCAUGAGGACUCAGGUUCAAUCCCUGGCCUCACUCAAUGGGUUAAGGUUCUGGUGUUGCCAUGAGCUAUGGUGUAGGUUGCAGACAUGGCUCGGAUCUGGUGUUGCUGUGGUUGUGGUGUAGGCCGGUGGUUGCAGCUCUGAUUCGAGCUCUAGCCUGGGAAGCUCCCUAUGCUGUAGGUAUGGCCCUGAAAAGAAAAAAAGAUUAAAAAAAGAAAUCAUGAGACAGGAAUUCUUGCCGUUACUGCGGUGUAGGAUGCGGCUGUGGCUCAGAUUCAGUCCCUGGCCUGGGAACUUCCGUAGGUCACAGGUGUGGCUCCCCCCCACCCCAAAUCGUACCCUCCAGGUGGCUGAAAGUAAAAGACAUUGACACCACUUGAUGUGGGUGAGGAUGUGGAGCAACUGGAAACUCCUGGCGCAGCUGAGGGGAUUAUAGGAUUAAAAUUGGACAGACAACUCAGUUCUAUAGUCACAUGGUGGAAUACUAUGCAGCAAAGAAAAGAGGCGUGCACUCAAAAUUUGUUAAGGGAAAGAAGAGAAAUAGUGCCUCUUUUAUAAUUCUAUGUAUAUGAAGUCCAAGAAGAGGCAAAACUAAUACAUGAUUACAGAAAUAUAGAGGUUACCUAUGGGGGUGGGGCUAGAGAACAUUCUGGAGCUGUGCAAAUGCUCCUUUUCUUGAAUGUGGUAGUGGUCCUGGGGUAUAUCCAGUUAUUAAGACUCAAAUUGGGAGUUCUUGGUAUGGUGCAGCAAGUUAGGGUUCCAGCCCUAUCUCUGCAGUGGCUCUGGUGGCUGCUGAGGCACAGGUUCAAUCCCUGGCCUGGUGCAGUGAGUUAAAGAUCCAGCAUUGUCAUAGCUGUGGUGUAGGCUUGCAACUGCAGCUUGGAUUUGAUCCCUGGUCUGGGAACUUCCAUAUGCCGUGGAAGCAGCACUGCCCCCCAAAUAAAGUUUCCAGUUGUGCACUGAACAUGUGUACACUGGGCCCUGUGUAAAAGCUUCCAGAAAAGUGAUGAAGAUGAGGUCACCCAUGUACCCAUAGUGCCCUGUAACUUGACCGGGUCUCUCCGAGAUAUAUUGAGAGUGCAUGUCAUGCCAGGUUGGCACGUCAACUUACUCCUUGGCACCAGCUUCAAUUGCUGGCGAUCACGCUGGUGUCUGGAUUUGCCGCAGUGUCACCAGCCCCAGGAAGCUUUGGAGACCAGGGUAGGAGCUGCCUCUUCCAAAUUCAUGCUCACGGCGGCAGAAAAUAAAAGCAAGGCAGACAUUCGGGUGUCUUUCUAUUUAUGGAAAUCUUGAACGGGCGCCCCAUCCUGCCAGUGGCCCCAUUUCGUAGGUGGCAGUUGCAGGCCACCAAGGGUCAGUCCGGGCCCUGGAUCGGAAGACGAGGGGUCUGGAGACAAGCGCUGGGCGAGGCUUUGGUCUGAAGAACAGAGGAGCCCUUGCUGCUGAGCCCCUCAUGGGAACACAGUUCGGGGCUGCCUGCGGCCCAGAUGUGGCCGUGUCAUCCACGGGUGACGCUGGCGUGGGCCUCGUGCAGCCCGGUCCCUAGGACCAGCCGGGACACUCCAGGCAGGAGGUGGCAGCCGAGACCCAGGAGACUAGCCCUGAGACCUCAGCUGGGGUCAUCUGGGGUCAUCGGAGGUGGCAGUACUCUUGGCAGGCCAUGGGGACCGUGGCACGUCAUCUGAGGAGGGCGGCCGGCUGUCUCCUGGGGCUCUUUGUGGUUUCCAGCAGGCUGGACCGUGGCUGCAGAAGGGCCACUACCAGGAGGUCCAGCAGGACACAGUGGGCCCAGGCAAGCUGUCACCUCCACCACCACGGCCACUCUGCUGCCCCACGUCCUGCCGCUUCGCUCAAGCCCUGCCCCCCGCCCCCAGUCCUCACUUCCGUGCUCUGUUCAUUGUCUGCCGGGGCGGAAGUGCUGGGGCGGCUUUGGGAGGACCCCGAAUAAUAGUGGGCGGUGUGGCCCGAGGAAGCCAGGACCCCGUGUGGGCGUGAGGACACGUCUCAGGGGACCUCCGGGCCUGGGUCAGGAAGCUGGCUGCCAGGGCUCCCAGGGGGUUUCUGGGGGUGCUGACUCAGUAGCGGGGCCCCACAGAUGGGGCGGCCUCGGAAAGCCCCUCCCCCACCUGCCUUGGCUCAAGUCGGACUGGGGGCGGGGGGCUGGGGGCCCAGGAGCCCGAGGGCACAAAGCUGCCUCUGUGGCCGCGCCGUGGGCAGCAGAGAUAAGUCACAGCGGCCGCCUCUGUUGUGCCGUCAGAGGGCAAAAAUAGACCAGGGCUCCGUUUCCCAGAAGGGCCCCGUGUGGGCCUGGGCCAGGCGGCGGUCUGUCCUUGGCCUUGAGUGCGAUUCUGCGGCCCUCAGGGCAGGGCGAGCGUCAGGCCCUCCCUCCUGCCUCUGAUGCUGCUUCAGACACGGCUGCACCUCGGGGACCAAAGGCUGGCCGGGCAGGUGUGCCAAAUUGGCCCUCCCUUGGGGUCUCCGGGUGGGGGCUGCGGAGACCCCCACACUCCACGUCCACCUCUCAGGCAUUGUAGACCCGGUUCCUCAUGACGCUGGGCUGCAAGGCCCCCGGGGCCACGGACCCUAGAGCAAGUGGUCGGUGUCUCGGGCGCGGGCUCACCUGGCCCUCACCUGGCCAGCCAGCCCUGACCUGCCCGUGGCUCAGAGACUCAAGGUGGCCCUGGGCACAAGCGAGGGGCACUGGGGAGUGCUUAGCUCCUGGAAUAAGGGGGUGUCCAGUCAAGGGAGCAUCAGGAACUCCGCUGGGCUGGCCUUUGACCUGCGACUCCCGCCUGAACCAUCAGAGCUCCCGAGGGUUUCCAGGCCACUGGCCUUCCCGCCCGCGCUGCUCCGCACACACUGCAGGCUGGCACCGUCCCCAGUUCACUCAGAACC